This 466-nucleotide ribosomal RNA is filed under the name uncultured bacterium. Its description in RNAcentral is "bacterial SSU rRNA". It matches the Rfam family "Bacterial small subunit ribosomal RNA", at positions 329 to 793 of the family's 1533-position model. The record is from RNAcentral.
UUCCAGACUCCUACGGGAGGCAGCAGUGAGGAAUAUUGGUCAAUGGCCGGAAGGCUGAACCAGCCAAGUCGCGUGAGGGACGACUGCCCUAUGGGUUGUAAACCUCUUUUAUAAGGGAAGAAUAAAUGCUACGUGUAGCAUGAUGCCUGUACCUUAUGAAUAAGCAUCGGCUAACUCCGUGCCAGCAGCCGCGGUAAUACGGAGGAUGCGAGCGUUAUCCGGAUUUAUUGGGUUUAAAGGGUGCGUAGGCGGUUUUUUAAGUUAGUGGUUAAACGUCGGGGCUUCACCUUGAUUUGCCAUUAAUACUGUAAGACUCGAGUUCAGACGAGGUAGGCGGAAUAAGUUAAGUAGCGGUGAAAUGCAUAGAUAUCACGCAGAACUCCGAUUGCGAAGGCAGCAUACCGGCGCCCGACUGACGCUGAGGCACGAAAGCGUGGGGAUCGAACAGGAUUAGAUACCCUUGUAA